GGCUUUAUAGUCAAAAUAAUGAUAUUAGACUGCAAUUCUAAAGGAGUAAAAUAAUUACUAAGGCUU
Molecule: transfer RNA, 66 nt
Filed under: Rhagoletis pomonella (apple maggot)
Lineage: Eukaryota; Metazoa; Arthropoda; Insecta; Diptera; Tephritidae
Description: tRNA-Cys
Source: RNAcentral